CCCCAUUUUUAUUUUUUUUUUUUUUUUUUUUUUUUUUUUUAUUAACUUGAGUAUUUCUUAUAUACAUUUCGAGUGUUAUUCCCUUUCCCGGUUUCCGGGCAAACAUCCCCCUCCCCCCUCCCCUUCCUUAUGGGUGUUCCCCUCCCAACCCUCCCACCAUUGCCGCCCUCCCCCCAUAGACUAGUUAACUGGGGGUUCAGUCUUAGCAGGACCCAGGGCUUCCCCUUCCUCUGGUGCUCUUACUAGGAUAUUCAUUGCUACCUAUGGGGUCAGAGUCCAGGGUCAGUCCAUGUAUAGUCUUUAGGUAGUGGCUUAGUCCCUGGAAGCUCUGGUUGCUUGGCAUUGUUGUACUUUUGGG
Molecule: long non-coding RNA, 358 nt
Filed under: Rattus norvegicus (Norway rat)
Lineage: Eukaryota; Metazoa; Chordata; Mammalia; Rodentia; Muridae
Description: long non-coding RNA NONRATT020755
Source: RNAcentral